Molecule: ribosomal RNA, 375 nt
Filed under: Triticum aestivum (bread wheat)
Lineage: Eukaryota; Viridiplantae; Streptophyta; Magnoliopsida; Poales; Poaceae
Description: partial small subunit ribosomal RNA
Source: RNAcentral
AUGCAGGGAGAUAGUGAUGAUGAUGAUGAUGUCUGGGUACCGCAAGUCCCGAACUUCAAUCCACUCUGGCUACUUGAAGACCAGGAUGAUCUUGAGGAGCCUCUUGACUUGCAUCUGGAUGAAGAGUAUAACUCUCAGCUCUCAAAGGCAGACCGGCUCCUUGAAGAGGGAGAGGAGAUGCUUACACGUGCGUUUGCCCUGCAUGCGCACAUUAAGGAUCAUAUCAAUCGACGGAUUACGUAUGUCGCUGCAGAGUCUGUUCUUCAACAAAUGGCAGUAGUUGCCACCCGGUUGCUACAUCUUGGUACUGAGUCAAGGGACUUCUCGCCAGAUCUCCAACAGUUUGCGCUUCAGAGGAUGGAACUUGGUCAAUGA